UUCGACUGUUUACCAAAAACAUAGCUAAUAGAAAAAAUUAUUAUUAGUGAUGCCUGCUCAAUGAUUGAACAAUAAUAAACAACAACAAUUAAAUAGCCGCGGUAACACCUAACCGUGCAAAGGUAGCAUAAUAAAUAGCCUACUAAUUAUAGGAUAGAAUGAAGGUAAAACGAAGACCCAACUGUCUCAAAACCCUAAAUUUAAAAUAGACUGUGUGUGUAAAUCCACACUAAAACGGCAAGACGAUCAGACCCUAAGAACUUUACCCAAAACUUUAAAUACAAAAAAGUUUUAAGUUUCGUUGGGGCAACGAUCUUUAAAAAAGUAACUAAGAAUAACUAAUCAAACAUAACAUAAAUAACUAUAAUUAUAAAAAGAUAAAACCCAUUAACAAAAAUUAAUGAAAAAAAAUAAAAGUUCCUUAGGGAUAACAGCGUCAUAUCGUUUUUCAGAAAAUACACAAACGAUGUUUGCGACCUCGAUGUUGGAAUUACRA
This 496-nucleotide ribosomal RNA is filed under the name Bolosoma cyanae. Its description in RNAcentral is "partial 16S ribosomal RNA". Lineage: Eukaryota; Metazoa; Porifera; Hexactinellida; Lyssacinosida; Euplectellidae. The record is from RNAcentral.